Molecule: ribosomal RNA, 253 nt
Filed under: uncultured bacterium
Lineage: Bacteria
Description: partial 16S ribosomal RNA
Rfam family: Bacterial small subunit ribosomal RNA
Source: RNAcentral
UACGGAGGGUGCAAGCGUUGUCCGGAUUUAUUGGGUUUAAAGGGUGCGUAGGCGGUUCUUUAAGUCCGGGGUGAAAGCCCACUGCUCAACAGUGGAACUGCCCUGGAAACUGGAGAACUUGAGUACAGACGAGGGCGGCGGAAUGGAUGCUGUAGCGGUGAAAUGCAUAGAUAGCAUCCAGAACCCCGAUUGCGUAGGCAGCUGACUAGGCUGGUACUGACACUGAGGCACGAAAGCGUGGGGAGCGAACAGG